This 912-nucleotide ribosomal RNA is filed under the name Listeria monocytogenes. RNAcentral describes it as "partial 23S ribosomal RNA". It matches the Rfam family "Bacterial large subunit ribosomal RNA", at positions 1 to 906 of the family's 2925-position model. Lineage: Bacteria; Bacillati; Bacillota; Bacilli; Caryophanales; Listeriaceae. The record is from RNAcentral.
UUGGUUAAGUUAGAAAGGGCGCACGGUGGAUGCCUUGGCACUAGGAGCCGAAGAAGGACGGGACUAACACCGAUAUGCUUUGGGGAGCUGUACGUAAGCGUUGAUCCAGAGAUUUCCGAAUGGGGGAACCCACUAUCUUUAGUCGGAUAGUAUCCUUACGUGAAUACAUAGCGUGAGGAAGGCAGACCCAGGGAACUGAAACAUCUAAGUACCUGGAGGAAGAGAAAGAAAAAUCGAUUUCCUGAGUAGCGGCGAGCGAAACGGAAAGAGCCCAAACCAAGAAGCUUGCUUCUUGGGGUUGUAGGACACUCUAUACGGAGUUACAAAAGAAAGUUAUAAAUGAAGCGGUCUGGAAAGGCCCGCCAAAGACGGUAACAGCCCGGUAGUUGAAAUGGCUUUCCCUCCAGAGUGGAUCCUGAGUACGGCGGAACACGUGAAAUUCCGUCGGAAUCCGGGAGGACCAUCUCCCAAGGCUAAAUACUCCCUAGUGACCGAUAGUGAACCAGUACCGUGAGGGAAAGGUGAAAAGCACCCCGGAAGGGGAGUGAAACAGUUCCUGAAACCGUGUGCCUACAAGUAGUUAGAGCCCGUUAAUGGGUGAUAGCGUGCCUUUUGUAGAAUGAACCGGCGAGUUACGAUUUGUUGCAAGGUUAAGCGGAAAAAGCGGAGCCGUAGCGAAAGCGAGUCUGAAUAGGGCGCAUAAGUAACAGGUCGUAGACCCGAAACCAGGUGAUCUACCCAUGUCCAGGAUGAAGGUAAGGUAAUACUUACUGGAGGUCCGAACCCACGCACGUUGAAAAGUGCGGGGAUGAGGUGUGGGUAGCGGAGAAAUUCCAAUCGAACUUGGAGAUAGCUGGUUCUCUCCGAAAUAGCUUUAGGGCUAGCCUCGAGGUAAAGAGUCAUGGAGGUAGA